RNAcentral lists this non-coding RNA (172 nucleotides) under Tepidicella xavieri. Lineage: Bacteria; Pseudomonadati; Pseudomonadota; Betaproteobacteria; Burkholderiales. The record is from RNAcentral.
AUGAGGGCGACCGAGUGUGGAGAAGAAGCGUGGAGCGAAGCUGCGAGCCGAGGAACACGAACCGGAUAGAAGGCGGUGCCGACUAGGGCGAGCGGGCCAGAAACCGCGAAGCUCUCGUGAUCAAGGGUCAGGCGGCGUAGAUUCGGCGGCUGUGCAGUGAAGGAGUGCGUUC